UACGUAGGGUGCAAGCGUUAAUCGGAAUUACUGGGCGUAAAGCGUGCGCAGGCGGUUAUGUAAGACAGGUGUGAAAUCCCCCGGGCUUAACCUGGGAACUGCAUUUGUGACUGCAUCGCUGGAGUGCGGCAGAGGGGGAUGGAAUUCCGCGUGUAGCAGUGAAAUGCGUAGAUAUGCGGGAGGAACACCGAUGGCGAAGGCAAUCCCCUGGGCCUGCACUGACGCUCAUGCACGAAAGCGUGGGAGCAAACAGG
This 254-nucleotide ribosomal RNA is filed under the name uncultured bacterium. Its description in RNAcentral is "partial 16S ribosomal RNA". It matches the Rfam family "Bacterial small subunit ribosomal RNA", at positions 524 to 776 of the family's 1533-position model. The record is from RNAcentral.